Non-coding RNA from Sesamum indicum (sesame), 949 nucleotides. The record is from RefSeq and is a predicted model, not a curated record. Lineage: Eukaryota; Viridiplantae; Streptophyta; Magnoliopsida; Lamiales; Pedaliaceae.
UGGUAAAACAUAUUUCAACUCUCUCCUCUUUCUCUCUCUCUAGGGUUUUGUUUUUCAUCGAUUGCACGAAAAAUUCCCCAAUUGUUCGUAUCUAUUCGAUCGAAAUGGAAAAUGGAGGCGGAGAUUUGGAGGCGAAAAUUGAGAUGUUGAUGAAUGUGGAGAGCAGAUGAGGCAAGUGGGUGAUGUUGCAGGUACGAGGAAGGCCGUCACACCUCUUGCAAUUCUUCUUCUCACACCUCAAACAAUACCCCUCAUUUUCUCCCUCCAAGAAAGCCAAAGCCGGCGAAGGAGAGACGCCGCAGUUCAGUCCUCCCACCGCCAAAAUACCCUCACCCAACCCCACAAUCAAACCAUUUCCCUUCUCCUCUGGUCACUUCUCCGAGGAAAAAAGUUAAAGAAAGCAGGUGUCAUUGCUAAGAGGAUAUGAAUCAGACAGGAGACCUGCAAACUUGACAAUGAUGGCUUUCAGAAGGCAUAUUCCGUUGAUUUCAGACCACUCAAUGUACUGCCCGCUGCUGCAUUCCAAGGGGCUCAUUAUAUUUCACCAUUGAAAAGGCAAAUAAUCUCGUAUGCAUCUGGUAACCAAGCUUGUACACUCGUUUAAGGAAGGUUCGGAGGAAUGGUCCAAGAAGGCGGUAGAGCUUGAGGAGUCAUGAAGACUUUAGAAUUACAUUUGCUACACUUGGUGAGAACACCAGAUGAUGUCCCUGGAUGUGCUUCUUAGUGCCGGUGUUCUGUGGUGCAGGUGACUAUUUAUAUGCUAUCAUAUCAUGUUUAUCAUUUGUCCCCUACACUCUUAUGCAGAACCCAUUCAUUAGUUCAUUGGUUGUGCGAGCUAUUCUUUUGAGGGGCUAGGUGUGUUAGUGCUCUCCUGCAUUUACCUUUUUAUGCUCUUGAAGUGUUGAAGGAGUAAAAUUCAAGUCCAUACUCGACAAUAGAUAUUGGGUGG